AUGUCUCUUUUGCAGGACUAUCACAAUCUCCGUGCGACCGCCUACAACUCCAGGGUUCGGGAGCUGGAGACGCAGACUGCCCAUCUGACCGAGAGCCGAGAGGCCAAUGCCGCCCUGCAGCAACAGCUGGGCGAAGCCAACACCGCCCUGCGUGGCAAGGAGGAGGAGUGUACCAAGCUGGCCGAGGAGCGGGAUCGCCUGGUCACCCAGCUUGCCGAGCAGGCGGAAGCCCUCAAGGCGGCCCAACUGAAGGUGAAGACGACGGAGACCAACCUCCUCGCCGAGUUUGAGAUCGAGCGCUCUGCCUGGGCCAACAAGGAGGCCCAAAUGAUGUCCUGCUUUGGCAGCAUUGAAGACUUGGUCGAUGACUUCUUCCCAGGUCAUUCUGUAGUCGCAAUCCAAAUGAUCGAGGCCCAGCGUGAGGAGCAAAGGGUGGAGGGUGCGCAAAUCGCCGCUGAUGCUCCCCAGACUCUUGGCGAACAGGUCCUCAGCAUUCAGGCCCGACUUCGGCCCGCCCAUCGCACACUACGCCGCCUCCAGCGCAUCGGAGCCCAGGCGGUCUCCGCCCUCUGGCUGGGCUUGACGGCUCCGCGUACUCCAAGUCGGACUGCCGACUGGCUGCAGGUGGCGGCCGACCGCCUGGAAGCCUGGAAAUGCUCAGCAGCCCGGGCAGGGGCGCGCCGGGCCUUGGAAUUCGUCAAGGCGUGGUACCCUGGGCUAGAUCUAGCCCAGUUGACCACGUUCCGGCUGGAAGCGCAGGAGGAGUUGGCGGCGGUGGAAGCUGAGCUCAUCAACAGGGCGGCUGCGAUCGCCGACUUCACCGACACCAGCGUCUUUGUCCCGGAGGUGGUCGAGGAAGGCGGCGAAGCUCCGCAAGAGUGGCUUGGCUUGAACCCGGAGGACAGCGAAGAUUCAGCUGAAGUCAUCGACUCUAGCGACGAAGGGGAAGACGGGAAGGAGGAAGAGGAGGAGGAGGAGGAAGAUGAGGAGAGCAACGUUGAUCUGCCGGAGGUCGGGGCGGACGGUCAACCCCAACCUGACCGAGCCUCAAGCAACGAGCCGUGCACCAAGGUGCCGACCGCUACUGAAGGCGUCCAGGUGGGGGCCGACCAGCCAUCCGUUCCUCCGACGGACGCCACCGACUCCGUCCUCCAGUCCUCCGCCGCCCCGUCUGCAGCUGGCGAUUCCUCGGCCCAGAUGGAGCCGCCUGCCGCGCCAGGUGGUGCAGUUGACUCCAGCGUCCAGCCAGAGUCUUCUGCCACACCGUUCAGCGCUGCCCGGCCGGAUCCAUCUGCUGCACCAAUCGGCGCCGCCCAGCCGGAGUCUUCUGCUGCUCCUUAG
This 1341-nucleotide ribosomal RNA is filed under the name Triticum aestivum (bread wheat). Its description in RNAcentral is "partial small subunit ribosomal RNA". The record is from RNAcentral. Lineage: Eukaryota; Viridiplantae; Streptophyta; Magnoliopsida; Poales; Poaceae.